RNAcentral lists this transfer RNA (75 nucleotides) under Actinomycetota bacterium. RNAcentral describes it as "tRNA-Thr". It matches the Rfam family "tRNA". Rfam says of the family: Transfer RNA (tRNA) molecules are approximately 80 nucleotides in length. Their secondary structure includes four short double-helical elements and three loops (D, anti-codon, and T loops). Further hydrogen bonds mediate the characteristic L-shaped molecular structure. tRNAs have two regions of fundamental functional importance: the anti-codon, which is responsible for specific mRNA codon recognition, and the 3' end, to which the tRNAs corresponding amino acid is attached (by aminoacyl-tRNA synthetases). tRNAs cope with the degeneracy of the genetic code in two manners: having more than one tRNA (with a specific anti-codon) for a particular amino acid; and 'wobble' base-pairing, i.e. permitting non-standard base-pairing at the 3rd anti-codon position. Lineage: Bacteria; Bacillati; Actinomycetota. The record is from RNAcentral.
GCCCGAGUAGCUCAGUGGCAGAGCAACGCACUCGUAAUGCGUAGGUCGAGGGUUCAACUCCCUCCUCGGGCUCCA